UGUGGGAGAAGAUGCUGGGGACUGUUCAAUACACUCCUGUGACUCUGGACCCAAACACAGCACAUCCCAACCUCUCACUGUCUGAGGAUCUGACCAGCGUGAGACGCAGUCGUGAGAGACAGCAGGUUCCUGAUAAUCCAGAGAGAUUUGAUGCGGGGCGGUGUGUGCUGGGCUCUGAGGGAUUCAGCUCAGGGAAACACUGCUGGGAUGUAGAAGUGGGGGAUGAGGUCUGGGUGGUGGGUGUGGCUAAAGAGUCUAUCAGCAGGAUAGGGGUUGUGAAUCUGAGCCCAGCAGGAGGAGUGUGGGGUAUAGAGCUGCUCGAUGGGAUAUACGCAGCCCGGACCUCCCCACCUAAAGGCCUCACUGUGCGAAGGAAACUCCAGAGGGUCAGAGUGCAGCUGGACUGGGACAGGGGGGAGGUGUCAUUCUCUGACCCCAGUGACAACACUCCUCUCUACACUUUUAAACACUCCUUCACAGAGAGAGUGUUUCCAUUCUUCUGGCCUGGUCCUCUGCGGAUCUGUCCACUGAAGGUGAAGGUGUCUGUAAGAGUGGAAUAGUGCUGUGGUUUGUGGGCAAGGAUCAGGUGAACAGACUGCUUCUUUCACUUUGACAAGAUCAAUGAGUAUAUUUGCAGAUAAUAUCUUUUACAAUAUUUUAUUGAAUCAUUUACAAAAUAUAGAUCAAUUUCUGCAGCAGUUCAUGAUGAAUGUAACUUUGAAAUCUCAUGAUGUUGCAAUAAAAAUCAGGUUAAAAGAACUGCAUUCCAUCACAUCUGAGCAGCAUUAAUUAAAAUAUUUGCCGGUCAAACAGCAUCAACAAAAUAUUAUUUUAGUUGAAACGUUCUGUAAUGUUUCCAUGAGAAGUGUCUAAUUUCUUUUCACAUAACUUCCUGAUGUUAUCACUGAGUAAUAACUGUGCUAUACGGUGGUGGUGUAAGUAUGUGGGUUUGUGUGUAAUCAUUUGAGGUGUAAUAAAUCCACCAGUGGAAUCA
Long non-coding RNA from Anguilla anguilla (European eel), 994 nucleotides. RefSeq lists it as uncharacterized. Lineage: Eukaryota; Metazoa; Chordata; Actinopteri; Anguilliformes; Anguillidae. The record is from RefSeq and is a predicted model, not a curated record. The transcript has 2 exons.